RNAcentral lists this ribosomal RNA (94 nucleotides) under uncultured bacterium. RNAcentral's name for it is "partial 16S ribosomal RNA". It matches the Rfam family "Bacterial small subunit ribosomal RNA", at positions 1388 to 1482 of the family's 1533-position model. The record is from RNAcentral.
CACCGCCCGUCACACCAUGGGAGUCGAUUGCUCCAGAAGUGCCUGAGCCAACCGCAAGGAGGCAGGCCCCAAGGAGUGAUCGGUAACUGGGGUG